CCUACGGGAGGCUGCAGUGGGGAAUAUUGCACAAUGGGCGCAAGCCUGAUGCAGCCAUGCCGCGUGUGUGAAGAAGGCCUUCGGGUUGUAAAGCACUUUCAGCGGGGAGGAAGGCGUUAAGGUUAAUAACCUUGUCGAUUGACGUUGCCCGCAGAAGAAGCACCGGCUAACUCCGUGCCAGCAGCCGCGGUAAUACGGAGGGUGCAAGCGUUAAUCGGAAUUACUGGGCGUAAAGCGCACGCAGGCGGUCUGUCAAGUCGGAUGUGAAAUCCCCGGGCUCAACCUGGGAACUGCAUUCGAAACUGGCAGGCUAGAGUCUUGUAGAGGGGGGUAGAAUUCCAGGUGUAGCGGUGAAAUGCGUAGAGAUCUGGAGGAAUACCGGUGGCGAAGGCGGCCCCCUGGACAAAGACUGACGCUCAGGUGCGAAAGCGUGGGGAGCAAACAGGAUUAGAUACCCGAGUAGUC
This 465-nucleotide ribosomal RNA is filed under the name uncultured Klebsiella sp. RNAcentral describes it as "bacterial SSU rRNA". It matches the Rfam family "Bacterial small subunit ribosomal RNA", at positions 338 to 795 of the family's 1533-position model. The record is from RNAcentral. Lineage: Bacteria; Pseudomonadati; Pseudomonadota; Gammaproteobacteria; Enterobacterales; Enterobacteriaceae.